This 908-nucleotide long non-coding RNA is filed under the name Zea mays. Its description in RNAcentral is "drought responsive lncRNA". Lineage: Eukaryota; Viridiplantae; Streptophyta; Magnoliopsida; Poales; Poaceae. The record is from RNAcentral.
UGAAUACAAAGUGUUAGUCUACAACUUAAUGUAGACACAUACUCAUAAGUCCACAAGUCUUAUGAUUUUCUUUGCUAUUCAUAUUGUGCUUGCACAUCAAGCCGCAAAAGCACAUAAGUUCUUUUCAUAAGAACCAUAAGAGAAAGAGAGCAUCUCAUUUCCUCCAAAUUGAAGAGGUGAAUUCCCAUAUCAUGCAAAAAUGAAAUGAACAUAUCCAACGAACAUUGAGGAUAAUUAAGCCCAUUAGGUGAGUUCAUCAAACUCUAUUAAAUAAUUAUCCUUCAAAUGGGUUAACCAUUUUCUGAUGUUGUAAUAUAACGCAAAAUAUAUCAUAUCUUUAUAUCUUGGAGAAUUCUAGGUAUCACAUAAAGUGUACCAAAGGAUUUUUGAAAAUUGGUGGACACAACGUAGAUAAUCUCCAUGUAAUGAAACAAUGGAGUAGAUCUCCCAGUAGCAGGCAAAACUUUUGCUGCCUGAAAGCAUGGUCUCUGGGCUGAUAUAUUCAAAGAACAUAACGCAGCCAAUGCUUAGGACUCCACUACCCUGUGCUUGACCAAAAUUUCAAAAAUAAAAUGGAAAUCACCAUAAAGGUGAAUAACCAACAUCACAUCUCCAACAUAUCUACUUGGGAGAACACAUAGGUAAUCAUCAUCACCAUAUGAUAUAGACCUCUUACUGAUGGGCAAAUAACAUUUUGCUGUCUAAAAGCUUGGUCUCAGGGCAAAUAAAUUCCAAGAACUUAUUGCAGCUAAAGCCUAGAUCUCCAUCAUGUGUUGAAUAAUCCCAAGUUCAAGAUAUGUGUCAUAUUUUGCAAGAAUUUAUCAUUUAAUUAAGUAGAACUUAAUUAAAAGAACUCUUUGAGUUGCAAGCAUGAUCACAACGUCUAGCCUGGCUCCAUAGCCUGCAAC